GAUGAACGCUGGCGGCGUGCCUAAUACAUGCAAGUCGAGCGAACAGACGAGGAGCUUGCUCCUCUGACGUUAGCGGCGGACGGGUGAGUAACACGUGGAUAACCUACCUAUAAGACUGGGAUAACUUCGGGAAACCGGAGCUAAUACCGGAUAACAUUUUGAACCGCAUGGUUCAACAGUGAAAGACGGUCUUGCUGUCACUUAUAGAUGGAUCCGCGCCGCAUUAGCUAGUUGGUAAGGUAACGGCUUACCAAGGCAACGAUGCGUAGCCGACCUGAGAGGGUGAUCGGCCACACUGGAACUGAGACACGGUCCAGACUCCUACGGGAGGCAGCAGUAGGGAAUCUUCCGCAAUGGGCGAAAGCCUGACGGAGCAACGCCGCGUGAGUGAUGAAGGUCUUCGGAUCGUAAAACUCUGUUAUUAGGGAAGAACAAAUGUGUAAGUAACUAUGCACAUCUUGACGGUACCUAAUCAGAAAGCCACGGCUAACUACGUG
This 497-nucleotide ribosomal RNA is filed under the name uncultured bacterium. RNAcentral describes it as "partial 16S ribosomal RNA". It matches the Rfam family "Bacterial small subunit ribosomal RNA", at positions 28 to 507 of the family's 1533-position model. The record is from RNAcentral.